AAAAACUAGCUCCUGUAUUUGUUGAUCUUUUGAAGGGUUUUUUCUGUCUCAAUCUCCUUCACUUCAGCUCUGAUUGUGGUUAUUUCUUGCCUCUUCUAGCUUUGGGAUUUGUUUGCUCGUGGUUCUCUAAUUCUUUUAGUUGUGAUGUUAGUAUGUCUAUUUGAU
Molecule: long non-coding RNA, 165 nt
Organism: Sapajus apella (tufted capuchin)
Lineage: Eukaryota; Metazoa; Chordata; Mammalia; Primates; Cebidae
Exons: 3
Source: RefSeq, a predicted model, not a curated record